This 700-nucleotide ribosomal RNA is filed under the name uncultured bacterium. RNAcentral describes it as "bacterial SSU rRNA". It matches the Rfam family "Bacterial small subunit ribosomal RNA", at positions 94 to 828 of the family's 1533-position model. The record is from RNAcentral.
AGUGGCGGACGGGUGAGUAACGCGUAAGAAUCUAACUUCAGGACGGGGACAACAGUUGGAAACGACUGCUAAUACCCGAUGUGCCGCGAGGUGAAACCUAAUUGGCCUGAAGAAGAGCUUGCGUCUGAUUAGCUAGUUGGUGGGGUAAAAGCCUACCAAGGCGACGAUCAGUAGCUGGUCUGAGAGGAUGAGCAGCCACACUGGGACUGAGACACGGCCCAGACUCCUACGGGAGGCAGCAGUGGGGAAUUUUCCGCAAUGGGCGAAAGCCUGACGGAGCAACGCCGCGUGAGGGAGGAAGGUCUUUGGAUUGUAAACCUCUUUUCUCAAGGAAGAAGUUCUGACGGUACUUGAGGAAUCAGCCUCGGCUAACUCCGUGCCAGCAGCCGCGGUAAUACGGGGGAGGCAAGCGUUAUCCGGAAUUAUUGGGCGUAAAGCGUCCGCAGGUGGUCAGCCAAGUCUGCCGUCAAAUCAGGUUGCUUAACGACCUAAAGGCGGUGGAAACUGGCAGACUAGAGAGCAGUAGGGGUAGCAGGAAUUCCCAGUGUAGCGGUGAAAUGCGUAGAGAUUGGGAAGAACAUCGGUGGCGAAAGCGUGCUACUGGGCUGUAUCUGACACUCAGGGACGAAAGCUAGGGGAGCGAAAGGGAUUAGAUACCCCUGUAGUCCUAGCCGUAAACGAUGGAUACUAGGCGUGGCUU